AUCUCUAUCUGGAGAUCACUACUCUUGGAGCCCUUCUACAAGCACAGGAUAUGGAAAUGAUAUUGGUUAAGAGCAGCUGGAUAACAGCAGAUCAGCAGUUUCUCUCUGUCAUUUUUUCUGAUCAAGUCUGAUGAAGUAGGAAAAUGUUCAAAAUGAGGAUGAGGAAAAUGUAGAGACAAAAUGUAUACUGACCUUUAGUGGAUGCAGCUGGCAUUUCUAGGCAAACUAAGCCACAGUAGGUGGGAAGCCACAGAUAUUCAAUGUACUCUUCCUGAGCUGUGUGAGACACUUCUAUGGAUAAAGACUUUAGGGAUGAGGAAUUUUCUAAAUGGGUAUGAUUGGACUGAAUCAGUGCUACGUCUGAUCCAGACUCAGAGUGGAAUACAGGACUUUCAGUGGUUAUUAAUUCAAACUCAGCAGGCCUCUGAAUCAGACAAAGUGUUUAAUGUAUGUUUUACAGCACCACUUCUGUUAAGCUAUUAAUUGAACUAUUUGUAGAAUCUAUGCAGAAUAAAACUUGGGACUGAUG
Molecule: long non-coding RNA, 529 nt
Organism: Gallus gallus (chicken)
Lineage: Eukaryota; Metazoa; Chordata; Aves; Galliformes; Phasianidae
Source: Ensembl